UCUAGCCAUGGGCAGGUUGAAGGUUGGGUAACACUAACUGGAGGACCGAACCGACUAAUGUUGAAAAAUUAGCGGAUGACCUGUGGCUGGGGGUGAAAGGCCAAUCAAACCGGGAGAUAGCUGGUUCUCCCCGAAAGCUAUUUAGGUAGCGCCUCGUGAAUUCAUCUCCGGGGGUAGAGCACUGUUUCGGCUAGGGGGCCAUCCCGGCUUACCAACCCGAUGCAAACUGCGAAUACCGGAGAAUGUUAUCACGGGAGACACACGGCGGGUGCUAACGUCCGUCGUGAAGAGGGAAACAACCCAGACCGCCAGCUAAGGUCCCAAAGUCAUGGUUAAGUGGGAAACGAUGUGGGAAGGCCCAGACAGCCAGGAUGUUGGCUUAGAAGCAGCCAUCAUUUAAAGAAAGCGUAAUAGCUCACUGGUCGAGUCGGCCUGCGCGGAAGAUGUAACGGGGCUAAACCAUGCACCGAAGCUGCGGCAGCGACACUGUGUGUUGUUGGGUAGGGGAGCGUUCUGUAAGCCUGUGAAGGUGUGUCGUGAGGCAUGCUGGAGGUAUCAGAAGUGCGAAUGCUGACAUAAGUAACGAUAAAGCGGGUGAAAAGCCCGCUCGCCGGAAGACCAAGGGUUCCUGUCCAACGUUAAUCGGGGCAGGGUGAGUCGACCCCUAAGGCGAGGCCGAAAGGCGUAGUCGAUGGGAAACGGGUUAAUAUUCCCGUACUUGGUGUUACUGCGAAGGGGGGACGGAGAAGGCUAUGUUGGCCGGGCGACGGUUGUCCCGGUUUAAGCGUGUAGGUGUGUGUUCCAGGUAAAUCCGGUUCACUUUAACACUGAGGCGUGACGACGAGGCACUACGGUGCUGAAGCAACAAAUGCCCUGCUUCCAGGAAAAGCCUCUAAGCAUCAGGUAACAUCAAAUCGUACCCCAAACCGACACAGGUGGUCAGGUAGAGAAUACCAAGGCGCUUGAGAGAACUCGGGUGAAGGAACUAGGCAAAAUGGUGCCGUAACUUCGGGAGAAGGCACGCUGACACGUAGGUGAAGUGAUUUACUCAUGGAGCUGAAGUCAGUCGAAGAUACCAGCUGGCUGCAACUGUUUAUUAAAAACACAGCACUGUGCAAACACGAAAGUGGACGUAUACGGUGUGACGCCUGCCCGGUGCCGGAAGGUUAAUUGAUGGGGUCAGCGCAAGCGAAGCUCCUGAUCGAAGCCCCGGUAAACGGCGGCCGUAACUAUAACGGUCCUAAGGUAGCGAAAUUCCUUGUCGGGUAAGUUCCGACCUGCACGAAUGGCGUAAUGAUGGCCAGGCUGUCUCCACCCGAGACUCAGUGAAAUUGAACUCGCUGUGAAGAUGCAGUGUACCCGCGGCAAGACGGAAAGACCCCGUGAACCUUUACUAUAGCUUGACACUGAACAUUGAGCCUUGAUGUGUAGGAUAGGUGGGAGGCUUUGAAGUGUGGACGCCAGUCUGCAUGGAGCCGACCUUGAAAUACCACCCUUUAAUGUUUGAUGUUCUAACGUGGACCCGUUACCCGGGUUGCGGACAGUGUCUGGUGGGUAGUUUGACUGGGGCGGUCUCCUCCUAAAGAGUAACGGAGGAGCACGAAGGUUGGCUAAUCCUGGUCGGACAUCAGGAGGUUAGUGCAAUGGCAUAAGCCAGCUUGACUGCGAGCGUGACGGCGCGAGCAGGUGCGAAAGCAGGUCAUAGUGAUCCGGUGGUUCUGAAUGGAAGGGCCAUCGCUCAACGGAUAAAAGGUACUCCGGGGAUAACAGGCUGAUACCGCCCAAGAGUUCAUAUCGACGGCGGUGUUUGGCACCUCGAUGUCGGCUCAUCACAUCCUGGGGCUGAAGUAGGUCCCAAGGGUAUGGCUGUUCGCCAUUUAAAGUGGUACGCGAGCUGGGUUUAGAACGUCGUGAGACAGUUCGGUCCCUAUCUGCCGUGGGCGCUGGAGAACUGAGGGGGGCUGCUCCUAGUACGAGAGGACCGGAGUGGACGCAUCACUGGUGUUCGGGUUGUCAUGCCAAUGGCACUGCCCGGUAGCUAAAUGCGGAAGAGAUAAGUGCUGAAAGCAUCUAAGCACGAAACUUGCCCCGAG
This 2093-nucleotide ribosomal RNA is filed under the name Salmonella enterica subsp. enterica serovar Enteritidis. RNAcentral's name for it is "partial 23S ribosomal RNA". It matches the Rfam family "Bacterial large subunit ribosomal RNA", at positions 729 to 2803 of the family's 2925-position model. Lineage: Bacteria; Pseudomonadati; Pseudomonadota; Gammaproteobacteria; Enterobacterales; Enterobacteriaceae. The record is from RNAcentral.